UACGUAGGGGGCAAGCGUUGUCCGGAUUUAUUGGGCGUAAAGAGCGUGUAGGCGGCCAUACAGGUCCGUUGUGAAAACUGGAGGCUUAACCUCCAGACGUCGAUGGAAACCGUAUGGCUAGAGUCCGGAAGAGGAGAGUGGAAUUCCUGGUGUAGCGGUGAAAUGCGCAGAUAUCAGGAAGAACACCCGUGGCGAAGGCGCUCUACUGGGCCAUAACUGACACUGAUGGACGAAAGCUAGGGGAGCGAAAGGG
This 253-nucleotide ribosomal RNA is filed under the name uncultured bacterium. RNAcentral's name for it is "partial 16S ribosomal RNA". It matches the Rfam family "Bacterial small subunit ribosomal RNA", at positions 524 to 776 of the family's 1533-position model. The record is from RNAcentral.